AUGAAUGACAGGCCUCCCCAUCUAUGUCAAAACUGCCAACAACGUUUCCACCCAUGAUGUGCCUCAAUACCUCCACCACAGCUGUUUGCUCCCGAAGCCUUCUCACCUAUCCCACAGUGGCGUAAUUGGCAAGAUUUCUACUGGCAGAGAUGAUGGAGCCAGUGAACUUGCUGACCAUGGUUGACAGCCUACAGCAACUCACAAACCAGCAAAGUGAAAAGACAGAUGUAUCUGAAACUAGCCUUUGUGCUAUGUAAGUCAGAUCAUUGAAGGAUUCAGAACACCCUAUCUUGGACCAAGAGCCAAGUGGUGGAAAGAGAGGCCGUAGCUACCAAAUGGACUAUCACCCAACUGAGAUGCUACAUUUUGAGGCCAAAAGUUCACCUUUGUUACUGGCCAUGCCACCUUGCAAUGUAUGACUUCUCAGAAAUAAUGAAACCCCAAGUCCCCUAUUGGUUUUUGGUCUUUUAGUCUUAUUAAUAUAGGGUUGAAUGCUGGAAAAAGCAUUCUUUAUGCCAACAUGGAUGCUCUUUCUUGACUCUAGGACCUCACAACUGGGUCUGAUCUUGUCAUUAUUGUUGCACACACAAACUUGUACCAUCUUCAGUGUACAGCAGGAUAGUAUUGGGAAGUCGAAUGGUUGUUCACACUAAUGCCAUUUUCAGCUCUGCCUCUGGCUCCAUCCCUCCUGCUUUUUGAGUGUAGUUCUGCAUGAAGGAACUAGAAUAUUGGUCAUCUUCAAUAAUUCAUCAAGAUUAAACAGGGUCUCUAGGUUGGAGCUAUAACUGCUUUUAUGUUUUUUUGCCAUUCAUUUACUGUAUACAUUGUAUAUGUACUUCGGUAAUGGAUAAAUCAGGUAAACUGAUUUCUAUUUUCAAUUACAUAUUUUAGUACAUUUUUGUUAAUCAUGCCACUAGAGAGUGUCAAAAUGUCACAUGUUGGUUGGACAGUCAACAGUACUGCAAGGUUAGUUUUUGAUACUGAAGAGUUAAAAUAGUGGGGCCAAUUGCUCAUUUCAUUAAAAUGACAAAAGUAACUGCAGUCAGAUAUGCAAUACGGAUUAACCAGGUAAUUUGUAAAGUGGACAAAAAAUAGUGUCUUUAAAGUUAAGCAAUACAAGAUCUGAGAAGGUAUGUUAAAGGAUGCAAGAUUGUUAUUGUUUUUGUUUGGCACUGCUAUGUGUUGAGCAGAUGCAGAGAACACCAAUGUUUCUACAUCCAGUAUUCUUAUUCAUAAAAAGGAUUCCAUCAGCCUAUCACAAUAUUACCAAACUGCUUGUUUAUUGGGUAAAAAGCCCAGAACCCCUUUCUUAAAUAGCUAGAAGUUUAAACUUUCCAUAUCCCCAUAUUAUUACAUCAAGGUGAACAUGACUUGUUUGUAUUUUAUAGAGCUACAUUUCGAAUGGUGAUGCGGUAUUUUAUUUUUUCUUAGAAAACUAGAGCUCUAAUUGUGCUUUAAACUGACAUCAGAAACCUUCUUUUUUACAAUUGCUCCAAGCUCUUCUGCAUGCCCGAUUCUGCACAAAGCAGAUGGCAGUAGACUUGUCUGUUCUAUGGUGUAGAGUGAAGCCUGACACCUUGAGAGCAAUAGCAAAUUCUUAUAAUAUUACAAAGUGACGGUACCAAGCUACAGCCCAAACUCAUACCUCACCUCUUUCAUUGAUUCUUUCUUUUGUCACUGUAUGUUUCAUUGUACAUCCCUUUUUUAAUUUAUUACACGUUACCAUUACCACCCUAAUACCAGUACAAAGUGUAUCCAUACACCAUCUGAUUUAGGGCAGUGCCUUUCCUGUGGAAUGGCUCUCUUUCAGCCACAUAUAUUUUUAUUUACCUUAUUUCUGCUCUAGUUUGUUUUUAAUUUUAAAUUGUCUUUCAAUAUCUUAAUAUACUCCUGUUGUAAAAACUAGUGCUAAAAUAAGCUAAAUGCUGAUUUCUGUUUUCCAUAUUAUCCUGCCAUUGUUGCAGUGCUUGUGUGCUAAUAGCUCUUUCAACAUUACAAGCCUAGAACAAUGGUGCUAGAGUACUCCAUUAUAUGACAUUAUGGUUUACAUUCUCCAGGCAGUGCUUAAUUAAUGAUGAUUAAAAUUACCAAUAAAUAGAACUUUUUGGAUUAUAACACAUAGUUUUAUCAUUUUCAAUCAACAAGACUUAAUAAAAGCAUAACAUAAAGAAAACAAUGUCAACUUGAGCCACAGAUUGUGGAAUUCGGCUUAGUUACUUGUAAUUUUGCAAAAAAGAACCAAAUAAUUAGCUGCCUACAUGUAAAUCUGAUCAUGUAUGAUAAAGCUGACUUAU
Erpetoichthys calabaricus (reedfish) is the source of this 2294-nucleotide long non-coding RNA. RefSeq lists it as uncharacterized. The record is from RefSeq and is a predicted model, not a curated record. Lineage: Eukaryota; Metazoa; Chordata; Cladistia; Polypteriformes; Polypteridae. The transcript has 4 exons.